Molecule: ribosomal RNA, 1166 nt
Filed under: uncultured organism
Description: bacterial SSU rRNA
Rfam family: Bacterial small subunit ribosomal RNA
Source: RNAcentral
AAUACGACCUUCGGGGGAAAGGCGCUUCGGCGCCGUCGUACGAUGAGCCUGCGGCGCAUUAGUUAGUUGGCGGGGUACAAGCCCACCAAGGCGACGAUGCGUAGCCGACCUGAGAGGGUGAUCGGCCACACUGGGACUGAGAUACGGCCCAGACUCCUACGGGAGGCAGCAGCUAAGAAUCUUCCGCAAUGGACGAAAGUCUGACGGAGCGACGCCGCGUGGGCGAGGAAGGCCGAAAGGUUGUACAGCCCUUUUCUGCGUGAGGAAUACUCAUCGGAGGCAAUGCCGGUGUGAUGACGGUAGCGCAGGAAUAAGCCCCGGCCAAUUACGUGCCAGCAGCCGCGGUAACACGUAUGGGGCGAGCGUUGUUCGGAAUUAUUGGGCGUAAAGGGCGCGCAGGCGGUCAUGCAAGCUUGGUGUGAAAGACCACGGCUCAACGGUGGAAACGCGCUGAGAACUGUAUGACUUGAGUUUCGGAGGGGGAACUGGAAUUCCAGGUGUAGGGGUGAAAUCUGUAGAUAUCUGGAAGAACAUCAGUGGCGAAGGCGAGUUCCGGGCCGACAACUGACGCUGAGGCCCGAAAGCCUGGGGAGCGAACAGGAUUAGAUACCCUGGUAGUCCACGCCGUGAACGAUGUGCACUAGCUGUUGGGCUUUCGAAGGCUCAGUGCCGCAAGUUAACACGCUAAGUGCACCGCCUGGGGAGUAUGCCCGCAAGGGUGAAACUCAAAGGCAUUGACGGGGGCCCGCACAAGCGGUGGAGCAUGUGGUUUAAUUCGAUGAUACGCGAGGAACCUUACCAGGGCUUGACAUAUACCGGAAGUCGCAAGAGAUUGCGGCGCCCGUCGGGGAUGGUAUACAGGUGCUGCAUGGCUGUAGUCAGCUCGUGCCGUGAGGUGUUGGGUUAAGUCCCGCAACGAGCGCAACCCCUGUUGUCUGUUGCCAUCAGGUAACGCUGGGAACUCAGACGUAACUGCCGGUGACAAACCGGAGGAAGGUGGGGACGACGUCAAGUCCUUAUGGCCCUUAUGUCCUGGGCUACACACGUGCUACAAUGGCCGGUACAGAGCGAUGCGAUACCGCGAGGUGGAGCAAAUCGCCGAAAGCUGGUCUCAGUUCGGAUUGGAGUCUGAAACCCGACUCCAUGAAGGUGGAAUCGCUAGUAAU